Molecule: ribosomal RNA, 406 nt
Filed under: uncultured bacterium
Lineage: Bacteria
Description: partial 16S ribosomal RNA
Rfam family: Bacterial small subunit ribosomal RNA
Source: RNAcentral
AUUGAACGCUGGCGGCAGGCCUAACACAUGCAAGUCGAACGGAAGGCGGACGGGUGGGUAAGGUAUGGGCACCUGACUGAUGGAGGGGGACGAGUACGGGAAACGGUUGCCAAUAACGCAUACAAUGGGAUGUGCCCAGAUGGGAUUAGGUAGUAGGUGGGGUAACGGCUCACCUAGGCGACGAUCCCUAGCUGGUCUGAGAGGAUGACCAGCCACACGGGGACUGAGACACGGCCCAGACUCCUACGGGAGGCAGCAGUGGGGAAUAUUGGACAAUGGGCGCAAGCCUGAGGCAGCCAUGCCGCGUGUAUGAAGAAGGCCUUCGGGUUGUAAAGCACUUUCGGCAGGGAGGCGUUACCCGCAGAAGAAGCACCGGCUAACUACGUGCCAGCAGCCGCGGUAAUAC